CCAAAGAAAAACAAAACAAAAAAAGAAAAAAACAAAAACGUAAUUAUCAAAGAAAAAAUAAAUAAUAUGCGAAAAAAAGAAAUUGCUGUUUUAUUUAUUGUUAAUUUUAUAAAUUAGUUUCUUUGGACAUUUUGGACCUUAAAAUAAACACUUGUUUGGGAAUUGUUUAUUAUUGUGAAUGAAUUGACAACUCUGUGCGUGUAUAACUGAUUGCCGCCAUUUUAUAAAGCGAAAGUUUUUCUUACAUACUUUGUGGCAGCAGGUACAAGAAGGAGUUUAAUUUAGUGAAAAAAGUAAUUAAUUAAGUUUAAAAUUGUGUUUUUAGUUAAAAAAUUGUUUAAUUAUGGUUUCUUUAAGUUGAAUAAUUAUCAAGUGAAACUUUUACAAUGUAAACAAAUCGCAAGCUGGAGAAAAAAUUUGUUUCCAUUUCAUCGAUGUCAUCGAAAAUCAAUUCCAAAUCGAUCUGUUUAUGCAGUGAACCAUGAAGUUAGCCGGAACCAAGAAGCUCAUAUGAAACAUAAACAAAUUAUAUAUUAAUUGUUAUCAGAAAAAUAAUAAAUAAUAAGUUAAAUUGUUUAUAAUUAUAUUUAAAACACUUUAAUCGAAUAAAAUUUUAUUAAAACUUGUUAA
Long non-coding RNA from Lucilia cuprina (Australian sheep blowfly), 630 nucleotides. RefSeq lists it as uncharacterized. The transcript is spliced from 2 exons. The record is from RefSeq and is a predicted model, not a curated record. Lineage: Eukaryota; Metazoa; Arthropoda; Insecta; Diptera; Calliphoridae.